This 40136-nucleotide long non-coding RNA is filed under the name Musa acuminata (dwarf banana). RNAcentral describes it as "long non-coding RNA (MACU_LNC004537)". Lineage: Eukaryota; Viridiplantae; Streptophyta; Magnoliopsida; Zingiberales; Musaceae. The record is from RNAcentral.
AUUGCUUGAUUUUGGGUAGCUAAUGUAAUAUCCUAUUAGUCCCACAUCGGAAGUGGGGAAUGUGUAUGAUUAGCUUAUAAGGGUCUGAUGAGUGUACUACGUUAACUCCCGCUUAAGCAUUUUGGUCCGCCGUUGAGGACCAAAAUGGAGUUAUUGGCCAGUUAGCUCAUCAGACUCGGGUCGUGACAUUUGGUAUCAGAGCCGACCUAGCAUUUGGGCAGGGUGAGAGGGCUCGAGUAGGAAAGGGCUACCCGUGGAUGGAGUCGAGAACUCAUCACGGCGUGGAGCCACCACUGAGUUAAACCUCACAUGCACUAUGCUAGGGUUCGAUCUGGGUUAUGUCGGGCCUUGACGAGGACGUCAAGCUAAUUGAGUUGGGGAUAAUGUAAUAUCCCAUUAGUCCCACAUCGGAAGUGGGGAAUGUGUAUGAUUAGCUUAUAAGGGUCUGAUGAGUGUACUGCGUUAACUCCCGCUUAAGCAUUUUGGUCCGCCGUUGAGGACCAAAAUGGAGUUAUUGGCCAGUUAGCUCAUCAGACCCGGGUCGUGACAUUUGGUAUCAGAGCCGACCUAGCAUUUGGGCAGGGUGAGAGGGCUCGAGUAGGAAAGGGCUACCCGUGGAUGGAGUCGAGAACUCAUCACGGCGUGGAGCCACCACUGAGUUAAACCUCACAUGCACUAUGCUAGGGUUCGAUCUGGGAUAUGUCAGGCCUUGACGAGGACGUCAAGCUCAAACUCAGCCAUCCCAACCUUUGUGCGCUCCACAUUCUUCCAAGCUUGCUUGUUCUCGUGGUGCCUCUUGCACGAAGGGUUGACCAUUCAUCUGAAUGCUAAUCUCAGAUGCCCGCUCCUCUGAGCGACUCCUUUUCCCUACAUCUCCAUGCUCGUUUUCCCCCAAACGGUCGCGCGUAUGCUGACUGCCCUCAACGCAGCCCCGCUAGGUCCCCCACGUUUACAUGCUAAGUGUUUCUAUGAGUGCUUGUCCCGCUCUGAUACCAUCUGUCACGGACUUAGCUGGUUUUGCCUAAGUCGUGCGGCACUCUUGCGUGUUCGUCCGCAAAGGUCAGCCUCCCCGAAGCCUCCCAUUGUCCCUUAGGACCAACAAAAGAGAGAACGGGUUAGAGAGAACGCCUCAAUCGGGAUCCACAAGGAAACAUCUCUGAAAAACACUUCAUAGACAAUGCAAAUUACAAACAAACUUUACAAGCUCUGAACAGUGGCACAACAAAGGGUAAAAUGGUCCAUUACAUAUCGAGAAUCUCUCGCAUGUGUCCACAUGGCACAACCUUUAUUUACAAGCCUAAAGAGGCCACCAACCCAACUAAAAUGGGACUAUUAAGCCUUCGGCUGCCCCUCUACAUGCUGUACAAGGCAUGAACAUGCCAAAAGACACGGACAUACAUAAGCAUUACAUCAAACAUCCUGUUUCGAAGUUUGUCCGUGACACCAUGGCGCCGAGUUUCGGUCGCCUUGGGAUGGCCACGAACAUUCCAUCGUCCGCAUACAAGCCCAUGUAUGAGUACCAAAUUCUUCGAGUUAGCAAUUCCCCUCACCUCUGUGAGCUUUGCAUAACUCUUUUGGUCGUUGAGCAACUCAUUCCACCUUGGAUGGUCUCAUCCUUUACCAAGCGCCUCUCUUGCCUUGAGCACCAUUAAGUAUGGUUGUCAACGUUGAGCCGUAGCUCAAACUCAACCAUCUCAACCUUUGUGCGCUCCACAUUCAUCCAAGCUUGCCUGUUCUCGUGGUGCCUCUUGCGCGAAGGGUUGGCUAUUCCUCUGAAUGCCAAUCUCAGAUGCCCGCUCCUCUGAGCGACUCCUUUUCCCUACAUCUCCAUGCCCGUUUUCCCCCAAACGGUCGCACGUGUGCUAACUGCCUCAACGUAGCCCCGCUAGGUCCCCCACGUUUGCAUGCUAAGUGUUUCUAUGAGUGCUUGUCCCGCUCUGAUACCAUCUGUCCCGGACUUAGCUGGUUUUGCCUAAGUCGUGCGGCACCCUUGCGUGUCCGUCCGCAAAGGUCAGCCUCUCCGAAGUCUCCCAUUGUCCCUUAGGACCAACAAAAGGGAGAACGGGCUAGAGAGAACGCCUCAAUCGGGAUCCACAAGUAAACAUCUCCGAAAACACUCCAUAGACAAUGCAAAUUACAAACAGACUUUACAAGCUCUGAACAGUGGCACAACAAAGGGUAAAAUGGUCUAUUACAGACCGAGAAUCUCUCGCACGUGUCCACAUGACACAACCUUUAUUUACAAGCCUAAAGAGGCCACCAACCCAACUAAAAUGAGACUAUUAAGCCUUCGGUCGCCCCUCUACAUGCUGUACAAGGCAUGAACAUGCCAAAAGACACGAACAUACAUAAGCAUUACAUCAAAUACCUUGUUUAAAAGUUUGUCCGUGACAAUGCGGUAGGGUGGUCUCGCUGGAGGCUUCACUCCUGGCUCCAGCUCGAUGCUGCGAUCCACGCCUUUGCGUGGUGGAAGAGUCUUCGGCAACUCGGGUGGCAUAACGUCUUUGAACUCUUUCAGGACGUUCGCCACCACAGCAGGUUCUUGAAUGGCCUUCUCGUUGAGUGGCUCUAGCUUCAUAGCAGCCACGAAUGUCAAUCCGCCUUUUCGCACCCCUUUCUUCAGUUGUAAUGCCGAUAUGUGUUGGGGCUCCUUGGUUCCUCUCCGAGAGACGGGAACCACGCAGGGGUCAUCGCCUCCCAUCAUACAUAGGGAGUUCAAGAAUGGCAUUAGCACCAACUUCGCCGCGUGCAUAAACUCCAUUCCAAGAAUCACUUGGAAGUCAUCUAGUGGCACGGCCAUCAUGUUGGUGUUCCCGCUCCAUGUCCCGAUUUUGAUGGGAACACCCUUCGCCAACCCGGAGAUUUGCCUGGCCUCCGAGUUCACCGCCUUCAUUCGGCUUGGACUCUUCUCCAAGAUCAACCCAAGUCGCUGUGCUUCUCGAUCGGCUAUGAAGUUGUGGGUAGCGCCCGUGUCCACCAUUGCACGGGUCGUUUGGCCAUUUAGCUUGAUGUCUACAUACAUCAGCUCACUACUUCCUGCUUUUUGUAGCUUUGUCUUGAUGUUCUCCCCCACUUGACCCCGCAUGGCGUUCAACAAACGCAUUGUUCCCAUUCGGGGUCCUUGCGACUCCUCGUCGUCGUUGCUGGAUUCAGAACUGCUCGAACUAAGAGAAACAGCUUUGCUCUUGUCCGAUCGGGGGGUGGUGGAUGGAAGCCGUCAAAGCAUUGAGUGCCUGUUUUUGUGGGCACUCCCUCACCAUGUGCGGUCCUCCGCACAAGAAACAUCCUCCAGGUUUCGAGGUCUUGCCUUUCGGGUUUGGCCCUUUGUGGGAACUCUUCUUCUUUUGUUCGCCCCCGAGCUCCUUCCCUCGAGAAUGUUUUGGAGGGCGAUUUCCUGAAGAUUGUUUCCUUCUCCCUGGGUCUUCGGAGGAAACAAAGUCGGUGAGCCUUUCUGCAGCAGCAAUUGCCUCGACCACAUCGGUAACAUUCCUUCGAUUUAGCUCCUGUUGAGCCCAUGACUUCAAACCAUCGAGGAAGCUGAACAACUUGUCCUUCUCGGACAUGUCCUGUAUGUCCAGCAUUAGUGUAGAAAAUUAUUUUACAUAGUCUCAGAUGGUGGUACUUUGGCGGAGUUGUCUCAACUUCCUUCUUGCGACGAACUCUGUGUUCUCCGGUAGGAACUGAGUUCUCAACUCCCGCUUCAAGUCCUCCUAUGUGUCGACUCGACACCGACCUUGUUUGAUCUCCUCCCAACGGGUUCGCCACCAAAGUUUUGUAUCUCCGUUCAGAUACAUUGUUGCUAUAGAAACUUUGGUAUCUUCAGAAUCGGGCCUCGUAGCUCGGAAGUAUUGUUCCAUGUCGAACAUAAAGUUCUCGAGCUCUUUGGCAUCUCUUGCCCCUCCAUAUCCAUGAGGCUCGGGUGCCCUCAAAUUUUGUGGCGGUGCAACGUGGGUGUUGCUUCCUCCCGCAUUUAGUGUUCUUGUGAGCAUGACCACCUUUGAAGUGAGUUCCGCCACAACAUCCUGUAAGUGUUGCACGGAGUCUUUGGUGUCAUCAGACAGUCGGUCGACUAGGGCCUCGACCUUGUCAAUCCUGGACUCCGUUUCCUCUUGCGAGCUCUCUACCCCAACAAGCCUUUGUUGGCCAUGGUAGAGUUCCUCUAUGCUCGCUUCAAGAACAUCCAGGUGGGUUUUCGCCGUUGUGAGUCUCUCCUUGUGACUCUUUUUCCCAGUUAGCGCUCCAGAUUGCGUUUCCUCCGCUCGCGGAGAGUAGCCAACUUCUCGCUCAUCAUGUUUGCUGCUGCGCUCCUCUUGAGCGGCUCCAACAACAUGAGAGCGAGUGUGCACAUGCAGCCCACCUGCGACUGCUUGGGGCAAGGGUCCGGCUUGCCCCGUCUUGCUUGAUUCGCCACGAUGCUUUGCCAUGGCGAAGUUGCGAAGUUCGUUCGCUGCUCGCUCGAAGUGCUUGCCCGCUUUGAUACCACAAUGUCACGGCCUUAGCUGAAAUUGCCUAAGGCGUGAGGCACCCUUGCGGCCAAGACGCGAACUUAGCUUGCGUUGCCUAAGUCGCGCUUCGCCCUUGCGAUAUUGCUCCGCAAAGAUCAGCCCACUUGUAACCUCUCGCAGGUCCCGAAGGGCCUGUAAAAGAGAAAGUUGAUUAGUUCGAAAGAACGAGUAACGGACAAGUCCCGAAGUCUCAUGAAAAGGGGAAGCUUUACAAGCAAUUCAGCGAGCACCUUGCGUGCACAAGAGAAAAGAGGGAGAGGGGGAAAACAAGGGCUUUAGAAGGUUGAACGAACAGCUGCAAGCCCACAAACAGCUGCUCACCGAGUCCCGGGCGCGACAACAAGUUCCCGUCAAGGCAACGUGCGAACUUGCGAAUGAGUGUUCAACGCCCGGUACUAUACCGAAGCCCCAUCCAGCCCUGUGUCACCCGGGGGGUUCAAAGGGGCUGAGAUGGCUGACGUUUUGGUGAGCGGAGGCAGAUUCCAGAAAUCAGCCCGCGGCACGCGAAAACGGAGCUGUUUUGGGCUGUUUUGAGGCUGUUUUGCUCGAUUCGGUGAGCGGUUGCUUUGUAACGCUACAGCUGGUUCAAACUUACAUUUUUACAAGCAAAAUGACCCAAAACCAAGAGAAAACAUGCUGUCAAGCAGCUGUACAUGCAGGUGUGAGCGACGAAUGGUUCGUUGAACGGAGUUGUUGCGAGUGCGCGACGACCGUUCGUGACACCAUGUCUGUGUUUCUUUGCUUUAGCUGUUGAGAGGUUGGACCAUUAAUAUGCUUAUGAUUGUCUAUUCAUCAAAUUUUCUCUCAUUGCAGUUAUACUUCAAUCCUGCAACAGUAAAAAUGUUGAGCAACCUGAAGGUAAUGCUUUUUAUAUAAAGAUUGGGUUGAUUUCGAUGUUGUUUCUUUGCUGGAAUGAUAAAUGCUCAUGGAGUUUUGUUUAGAGGUUCUUUUUUCCUGUUAUGAUGAUUAUACUAUGAUUUUCUAAUUGAUAAACAGAUUUUGGUUGGUGAAACCAACAUAAAUAUGCUUUAUCAAUGACAAAAUAGCCUUCUUUUGGCUGGCAAAUGGAGUCAGCAGACAUGAAUAUAUUAUGCAUGGCUCUUUAGUGUUUGUUGACUACAUUAUAAAGAAGAAUAUAUGGCUAUAUCUGGCUUUCCUAGCUGGUUUUUGUCAAGAAAAGACAGUUGUGGACAGCCCAUAAAAGCCUUGCUUAUUCUCUUGAUAUCCAUCCUAUUCUAGAUUCUUUGAAGAUAUAUUUUUUUUAUGCUUUGAUGAUAUACCAUGUCCUCUUUUAUUCUAUGCUUGGCUUGUUCUCACAAGAUGCUGAGAAAUGAAUUUAUAUUGAAAGAAAAUCACUGAUAUUGUGGUGCAAUUUACACACUUGAAGGUUCUGGUGAUUGCAGUCCUUUUAAAGAUUAUAAUGCGAAGGCGAUUUUCCAUAAUUCAAGUAAGUUUGGGCCCUCGAAUGAUUUGCCGUUCAUGUGCAUGAAUGCAUUAUGUACUAUUAUACUUUAAUGGAUGAGAAUUAGAAAUGCCUAUAAUUUUUAAUGGGUUUUAAAUGUGAAAUUUGAUAUGCUAAUACAGUAAGUGCUUGAUAUGAGAUGAUCUGGUGGGGCCUAACUGCAAGUCAUAUAGAUUGCUGAUCCUUAUUAUUCUUGAUUCUGGUGAUAAUAUUUUUAUAUUGACCUUUAAGUUCUUCACUUAUUCUUUUUUGUUGAUGAGCAGUGGGAGGCUCUUGCACUUUUGUUGAUUGGGAUAAGUGUAAAUCAGCUCCGGUCAUUGCCUGAGGGUUCCACAGCGCUGGGUCUACCUGUUACAAUGAUUGCUUAUGUGUAUACACUAGUUUUUGUAAGUUUGAUCAUCUAUACUUAUAUUCUUAAUUGUUGUUGUUGCUUUUAGUUUUUGCAUUGAAUACUUUUUUAUUGUUUCCUCUAAUUAGAUGGCCAUUUUUUUGGGAAAAUUAUCUAAUUAACUUGUUAAGUUAUUCUGUUGGAUCUUACUCCAAAUCUUCUGUUAUCACUAAAAUGCUUUUGUUAGGUGAACAUCCUUAUCUUUAAAAUUUUAAAAUGUAUAUAAGUUGGUAACUUAUUUAUCCGCAGGAAUAUUGAAGUUUUGAUGUAAACUUUUGAGUACAUGAUAAAUUCCAGACUUUAUCCAGUGUGGAAUUUUAGUUUUAGUGUAUCAUACUAUUCUCUUUUAGGAUAGGCUAUCAAGUGUUAGAUGGUUGACAAAUGCACGAAGAUUAUCAAUAUUCUUGUGCUACCUUCUUUUCUAUAGUCCACCUAGAAGUUAUUUUUUCUUUCUUUUCUUGAAACAAGGUGUUGAAUGAACACUUGGUUUAUAUACGUAUAUCGGACAAGUAGCUAGCUAAGUGAUGCCUCGGAUGUAUGAAGAUUUCUAUUUGUAUAGUUUACACUAUAUAGUUCUGUCUUAAAUGCUCACAUGGUAUUUUAACAUUGCAGGUUACUGUUCCAUCAAUGGCCUCCGUCUACAAUGAAUAUGCUUUAAAAAGCCAGUUUGAGACAAGUAUCUACCUUCAGGUGACUCUUUAUAAUUGAAUGUGGUUUUGCCAAUCUCACUAUUAAUAAUGAAUAGCUUAAUAAGUCUCUGUACUUGUUUUCUCCCUAUCUGCCAAUUUAUCUUCGAUAAUUAUGUGCUUUUAUAAAGGCCAUAUUUGUUUAACAUUUAACUUUUUUUGCAGAACUUAUUUUUGUAUGGUUAUGGUGCAAUAUUUAACUUUUUGGGCAUUAUAGGAACUGUCAUUAUUAAAGGUGUGUAUUUUUGACUCUUGUUUAAUAUGUAAUGCUGAACAUUUAUGCUAUACAUAGUUGAUAUGCUAAUUCUGACCAGUUUACAUAAUUUGAGCUGAUCUACCUGUGAUGAUCCUAUUUUGGUUGUUACUGCACUAAUAUAGUCUUAUGAUUUCUGAUAUUGAAAUAAAAUCACUUUACAGGUCAUAUCCGAUACCAUUUACCAAUUUCAAGCAAGAAUGAAUCUUUUUAAUCAGUGUUUUCAAAAGGUGCUCGAGCGAGAUGAGGCCUGAGUGCCUGGCAAAACCGUCGGGUGAGGUGUUUCGAUGAAGCGCCGACCAGGCACUCACUUGAGCCUAGGUGUCAGGCGCCUCGGGUGAGUGCUCAAGUGAAGAUGGGUCUGGAUUCAUGCUUGGUUCUUGCCUUGCUCGAGCGCCUUAUAAAACCUUAAUGUGAGGUGUUUCAAUGAAGCGUCGCCUAGGCGCUUGCUUGUGCCCAAGCACCAGGCGCCUUGGGGGAGCGCCUGAGUGAAGAUAGGUUCAAGUUUGUGCCCUGGUUCAAUUGAACCAACUAACCUGCCCUAACACAACCCCUCCCUCCACCCUGCCCAACCCAGUUUGUCUUCGAAGUGAAACCCUACGUUCGUCGCCAUUGCCUUCGUCCGUAGUUCCAUCCGUCGUCAUCUUCAUCCGUAGCUUCCUCCAUCAUUAUCGCCUUCAUCCACAGCUUCCUUUGUCAUCGCCACCUUCAUCCAUAGCUUCCUCCACUGUUGCCUUCGUCUGCAUCAUCCUCUUUCGGCUCUGCCUUGAUUCGCAGCUUCCUCCAUUGUUGCCACGUUUGUUCGCAACUUCCUCCGCCAAUGCCACCUUCAUCCACAGUUUCCUCCGCUGCCAUCGCCCUCUUGCGUAGCUUCAUUCGCCACCCUCUCCUUCCCCUGCCUUCCUGCAUAGGUGUUGGUUACGCUCUUCUUAAUCUAUUCUUUCUCAUCUCGAUUAACUUGUUGUACCAUAUUAAGGUGGUGCACUAUUACUUUGUUAGGAGUUAGAACUGUUUAGCACCAUAUUGGAAACACUAUUUAGUACAGGUCUCCAUCAGUAGAACCUUGUUUAGCAUAGGUUUUAAUCGUAAUAUAUAUAUUUUAAAUUAUAAUAUUCUGGAGUGUCUCACUUCGCUUUGGUGGGCGCCUAGCGCCUCAGGUGUUUUGGGACCUUGGCAUCUAGCGCUUUUAAAAGUAUUGUUUUCCAUAAGUAUUGACAACUUUAAUGGUGGAUUUACUAGGAAUAUAAAAUCAAUAUCUACAACAUGUUUUGUGUCAAGGUUUUCUUAGUUUUAAUAUCAAAUAUAUUUAGAUCAUUUGGUUUUAGUCAUUACUAGGCUUACAUAGAACAUGUUAAAACUCUGAAUAACCAAGGGGUCACGGUCGCAGAAAUUUAAAAAAGAAAAAAAAUCUGAAGGAGAACAAAUUGUUAAUGUUACUACUUAGUAGAUCAACCACUGAAGAAAUUAAAUGUGGAUUUUAGAUUUGCUUGAGUUCCUUUAGCUUCUUUACAUGAUAAUGCUAAAGCAAAAGGGGAGUUUAUGCAUAUGGACAAAUAUUAAAAAGAAUCAAAAGAGACCAAAAAAGGGAAAGAUGAGAAAUCGUUGAUUUUUUUCUUUAUUUGUUUUCUUUUAGACAGUGCUCAAGGGAUAUGCAUUUUUUUUUCUUUUUGCAAAUGAUAACUGGUGAGGGCAAUGAUGAAAAUAUUUAUCAGUUAGGCUAACUCACAUCUUCAUAGUUUCUAUUAAAUUAAAAAUUAGCAUGAUAAUCAACUACACCACCACAUCUAUAUGAUAAGUGCAGUUUUAGUGGCACUUUUGAUUCAUAAGCAGUAGUGAGAAAAUUCAUUGGUAACCUUCACCAAAAAUUGUUCCUUACAUCGUUCAUAGAAUCGAUAUAUGAUGAUCAAGAUGUCAAAAGAAACUGAUAUAAAAGUUGUAUUAAUUCUUAGUUUUGUAUACUUGAGCCAUAAAAUAUUUUAAACAGCUGUUCUUCUGUAAAAAGCUGCAAUUCUUUGUUUUUCUUUUAUCUGAACCAUGAAUAAAAUAUUAUUAUCUACAAAAUCAAGGCUCAAUUUUUGGGUAUUUGAUGUUUGAUACUAGAGUUCUUAAUUUGGCCCAUCUCAUAAACUGAGAUCCACCCUCCCAUACUUUCGUUGUCUUUGGUCUUGAACCUCUAAUACCCUACAGCGAAUGCAUCUCUUCCUGGCAUAUUUGUGAUGCUUAUGCCUAAAAGUUUCCUAAAGCGGGGAAAAUUUGCAGUGCAUGGUGUAUUAGCCGAACUAGUUUAAUUCUAAAUAUGCCAGCACAGAGAAGGGUCUUUACCAUAACAAGUGCCAACACUUCUCUAUCUCCAUAAGCAUGACACCUUUUGUUGGGAGUUGUACUAAAAAUCUUGAUUUGCUCUGUCCAAAUGGCCUUAGUUGUUGACAUACAGAAAAUUCAAAUAAAUGCUCUGAAGAUGACUAUGUUGACUUCGAUUUUUGUAUUUUGAUUUGUUAGCUAUUAUUAAUUAUGCUUCUAGUUCAGAAUACCCGACAUGCAGAUUUGUGUCUGUUAGAUGCAUAUAUAUUUUUUUGUGUAACUAGUUCUCCUAAUUCAGUGACGGGCAUAGAGGUUAUCAUCUUUUAUAUGCAUGUGCUUAUUUUGUUAGCCGUGCAUACAAUUGCACAUAAAUCAUAUCAUAAAGUUUUGUCUGGUGAUUUCAUGUUAUGUCAUUUCACCUAAUGGUUUGUUUUGUCUGGAUUUGCAAAGGAUUUGUGGUGCACAUUUGUAAAAUUGUUUGGAAAAAUGUAUAUGGUUUGAGUUCUAUUAAUACUGUACGUUGUUUAUGAUGCCUUUUACUAGAUAUUUUGAUUAUUCUUUUGUUUCACAUUUUAAAAACUUUGAUAGGACCUAGUAGCUUCAAUAUCCUUGAAGGCCACUCAAAGGCUACAAUGUUUCUGAUAUGCAACAAUGCAGCACAGGGCAUACUUUCGUCCUUCUUUUUCAAAUAUGCUGGUAAAUUGGAAUGUUUGCUAUGUCUUUAAUUUUGUUGCUUACCCAGUGCUAGACACCUUUACUUCUGUGCUGUUUUAGUCUUAAUUAUUCACAUGAAUGAUGCUUGUAGACACAAUCUUGAAGAAGUAUUCAUCUACCGUUGCCACAAUUUUUACUGGCAUAGCAUCUGCUGCAUUAUUUGGUCAUGCAUUGACCAUGAACUUUAUCUUGGGGAUUUCCAUAGUCUUUAUAUCUAUGCACCAGGUAUUUGCUGAACAUAUCUUAAAUUAUUUAAGCCUUUCAUUUCCUCGACAACUCUGACACUUUUUCAAUCAGUUCUUCUCGCCCAUGGCCAAAGUCAAGGAUGAGACACCAGUUGGGAAAUUGGAAGUGAUGGAAGCUCAACAUACCAGGUGCACCCUUUUGUUUAUUUUGAUUCUUUUGGUGAACUAUUUUCUUCUUAACAACAGUACCACUUAAUAGGGAUUUUAUUCACCACUUAUUCUUUUUAGUAAUUUGGUUGUUAUAUAGUUAUGUUUUUGUUAAGAAUGCCCUGUUCAGAAAUGAUCUUUGUGAUGUAAUUUGACCCACUUGCUAAAGGUGAGGGUUUGAAGCUUCAUUUGAUAAAUUUUUUGAAGGUGCUAACUUAGCUUGAUAAAACUUUGAAGAUUAAAAAAAUAAAUCCCAUCCUCAUCACUUAUCAUGUGAAAAAAAAAAACACUACCCAGAAAGUUAUUUUGGACAUUGAAUGUACAUCUUUGGAUGUUACUGUUUUGUGUUUACAAAAUGAUUUAUUCAUUUUAAGUUCAUUUCAGAAUACGGUUGCCUCUGUUUUCAGGUCAAAGGAAACUUCUUUCGUAAACAUGGCUGCUGGUGCUGCUGAAGAUGUAAACAAUUGUCUAUACAAUAAGUUGUUAGUUACUGAAUUAAUAUAUUCUUACACAUCACAGUUGCUUUCUUUCAGGUCAGCCACCGCACUGGUCAUGAUGAGAGACAACCGCUUUUGCCCAUUUGAUGGUAUGUCCAAGGCUUCACUCUGACUCUUGCAAACAUUUUAAUUUAGUGCUUUAUCUAACCACUGAGAUGCUUUCUAUCGAAUCUCUUACAUUUCUGUUAGUCUCUUAGAGAUUUUUACUCAUUCUUCCAGGAUCCAAUUUUUUUAUUAAAUUGAUCUUUUCAGGAAAUCUGGUCUUUUGGUAUUUAGGCAUGUUUUUAUGCAUGGCCAGUAUGUGCAGCCAUGUAAUAGCUACUUCUGGAAGUCUUUGGGGAUAUAUGUUGGUGGGUAGGAGCCGAGACUUGUUAUAGGCGUUUAGUAUGUGUGUUAUAUAAUACUUGAAUGGAACAAGCAAAAUAUAUCUGCUUCUGGAUAGAUAAUGUUCUAGUGAACCACAUGGUCAUCGGCACACUUACGUUCUAUUCCUCUUUUCACAUCCCUGUGAGGUGUUACUGAUUACUGUUGCUAUGCUCACAGCAACUUGCAUUUAUAUUUUGCAACCAUCAUCAAGUUGAUACCUACAUGAAACUAUGAACCAAUCAAAGUUGCAGCAUCCUUACUUUGCAAUGGAUCUCUGCUACAGGUAUACUAUGGAGUGAUCCUUUUUAUUGACCUACGGAUGAGCCACCAGCUAGUUAUAAUAAUUCUCAGCAAAGCAUAAACAAGAUAGAGAAUAGUUCUUCUCUUUUUGGUCUGUAUCGGGCAAGCUUGUUUCUUGUGGUCUUCUUAUAGGCAAGAUGAUGAACAAAUGAAGCAAGAGCAGCUUGAGCAUUCAGAGGAUGAUGAGAUGAAGAAAAUUGAACAGGUGAAAUCCCAACAUCAGCUUGUCGGUGUAAGAUCCAAGAAAUAGACUUCCCUAGCAACCAAUUUACAUAAAUUUUGUCUCUCAUCUUGUGGUAUUAUAUCACUAGGAAUAUAUAUAUAUAUAUAUAUAUAUAUAUAUAUAUAUAUAUAUAUAUAUAUAUAUAUUCUCAGCUCUUUUGUGUAAAAUUUGGAUGCAUGUUUCCCUAUUCUUUUAAUCGAUUUGUUAUUCCUUUUUGUAUGGAUACCUAUGUUUUCUGCUAUUGUUCACAUUUAUUUUAUUUUCUUAUGGCAUUGGUGGACCGGCAAAAUCUUCAAUGUGAUUGAAAAGCUAGAGCCACUAUGAAUGACAAGUUUGUGUUUGUUGCUCAAUGAGAAGUUUGGUUCUAUAGAAUUAUCACACAUGAAUUCUGCCUUUGUUGUUGUUCACAACCAAGUUUCAUACUCUUGGUAAAGGUUGACUGAGAUAAAUAAAUGAACUAUUGGGGAAAUAAAUAACUGUGCUAUGCAUAAACAUGUUAUGCACAUUAUGUUUAUCCUAAUUUCUCAUGUAAGGAUAGAAAUAGAAAUAAAAAUAAAAUUAAGUAUGAUUUUUGCUAUAUUAUGCUCAAUAUGCUGGAAAAUGCCAAAUUCUUAACCCUAAGCAUGAGUUUGCAUAAUGUAAGCAUCACAUUAUUAAUAAAACGAGUCAUUGUUUAGUGAUUUAAUUAAUCAUGCCAUUUAAUUAUCGUGUAAAAUACCUGUAAUCAUGCCAUUUGGUAUAAAUUUAACGAUAUCAAUCAUGUGUUACACAAGUGGUUUUCGGAUCUUUUAUUUUAAAAAAUUUGGAUCUUUUAUUUUAAAAAAUUCGGAUCUUUUAUUUUAAAAAAUAUAGUAUAUAAGCCAUUCUCAUCGAGUCUGAGUUAACAAACGUUAGAAUUUAUUUAUGUGACAUGUUCACUGAUAAUAAACUAUUAAUAUAAUGAUAUGUAUAAUUUAAGUUUUUUUAAAAAACUUGUUAUACGCAUACGACGUCAUACGCAUCUAGCCUCUCUCGCGUUGACGACGAGCUUAGGAGCUUUUGAAUGUUACUCGCCAGCUCCAAGGUGUAUGCCACCAUGUCACAUACUAUGACGCUUGUUAGGAAAAGAGUCGACACUAAGAGGGGGGGUGAAUUAUUGCAGCGGUAAAAACGUCGGUUCUGAAAAUUCUUUCGUAUGAUAAAAAUCGAUUUUGGAAACUUAACUUGAAACACGUGUUCGUAAAUGUAUUGAAGGCGGUAAGCAAGUAAAAUGGUUUAUAGUAAAGUAAAUGGCAACAAUAGAAAUACAAACCAGAGAACACGCCAAUUUUAUAGUGGUUCGGUCAUCGUGACCUACAUCCACUCCGUCGAUUCCUCUUCCGUCAAGGCCACCGGCAUCCACUAUCGGUCUUCUUUCAAUAGGUGAAGACCAACCACUUUUUACACCCCUCUUUUUUUUUUCACAUGUUUAGGAGACAACCUUUACAAGCACACACACUCCUCUCUAAAUAGAAUUCUAAGUUUAAGUUAGAGGAGGGAUUUCUCAAGUGAUUUCUGCGACGUUUUCUCAAUUUAAAACUCUCAUCGCUUCUCUAGUUUAACUAGAGAUGAAAUGAGUAUUUAUAGGCUUCAAGUUGAUUCAAACUUGGAGCCUAAAAACAUCUCAUCCCGGGUCUCCUAGGUACAGGCGGUACCACCGCUAGUGUUAAUCUGACACUAACACUGCGCUGGGUGGUACCACCGCCUCUGCUAUGACGGUGCCACUUCUUGGGUCACUGUUUGAGCCUUUCAUUGGGCCCAACACAAUCCUUACAUGGGCCAAAUUGGCCCCUAAUUGGGUUGGCCCAAAUCCAAUCCAAAUUAUGUGCUAACUACCAAAUCUAAGACAUUUACUAAGCUAAACAAGUCCUAUGAGUCAAGUUUUCUUCUGACGAUCUCUCGGCAAUGUUCCAGCGGACUCCCGACAAGCUCCUAGACUUCACGACGAUCUAUUUGGCGAGUUCCGACGAGCUUCUCUGGCAAGCUCCGAGACUUCUCGGCUGGUUUCUGUAGAACUUAUGACGAACAUCCGGACUUCCGACGAACUCUCGAACUCCUAACGAAAUCACGUUCUUGACUCCGGGACUCCAUUUUGCUUUAUGCCUUGCUAUCGUAGUUAAUCCUGCACAUGUACAAAACACACUUCGAUCUAGACAAUUAAUACUAAGCAUGAAUCAUUUUGUUCGGCAUGUCAUUGGUCCAUCGAUGCUUCGUCCGAUUCGUCGGCGCAUCGUCCUCUCUUGUGGCCUAUUGCCCAAUCGGCCAGUUGACUCCGCAACUCCAAUAUCCUUGGCGCAAUAUCCGCUCUUCUUAGCCCAAUAUUCGAAUCCAUAGCCCGAAGCCUUCUAUCGAUACGUCGAUUGAUCCUCCGGCUCGACGUCCAAUCUUCUGACAUGUUCCAUCAGCCCAACAUGAUUCUUCCUGCUUUAAUUAUCUCAUCCUGAUCGAAGCAUCCCGCGUCACUAAAAACGUAGAUCAAAUCAUAAAUACUUAUCAAUUGGUUUCAUCAUCAAAAUACGAGAUUCAACAGUGCUGCUUGCCACCAUGAACAGUACCCACUCUGAUCCCAACGAGUACCAUCAUACAUUGUAAGCCACCUCCCCCGUGAAACACGACAUCGCAAAGACGAAAAGCAAAUGAAAUGAGUGGUUGAGCAGGUCCAUGUAGCACUCCCACACCUUCUUGCUCUCCUUAAUCAGCUUGUCGAGGAAAAGGAAGCAGCGGAGGCCGUAACGCUAGACGAAGGCAGAGAGGCAAAGGUAGGAGAGGUUGGAGGCGAAUGUAAGGGAGAGUUGAACCACCACGUCAUAAGCAUGGAGGGUGAGGGCGCGAGAGAGGACAAAGUGGGAGGCAAUGGGGACAAAGACGCCCAAGAGGAGGAAGAGGAACUAGGAGACUACUGCGUGCCUAGUGUUGGACUGAUCGACGCACAUCCACCUGAGGCAAGACGGGAAGCUCCAAAGCUCGUCGUGCGUAUAACGCCUUGCUAAGCAGUAGUGGCUUGGUGCUGCUGAUGGUGGUCGCUUCUACGACGACGUCUCUUCCCACCGUUGAUGGAGGUAUAAGUUUUUCUCUUACAACUUAAAUUACAUGUGUCAUUAUAUUAAUGGUUUAUCGUGAGUCAACAUGCCACGUAAGCAUACUCUAACGUCUGUUGAUUCAAACUUGAUGAGAAGAGCUUAUAUGCUACGUUUUUGAAAAUGUAAAAGUUAUUUUAGACAUGAGUAGACCAUAAGGGCCUAAGAGGUUCAUGACUAAAACCAUAAGGGCUAAAAUAAAUAUUAACCUUAAAUUAUAUGUGUUAUUAUAUUAAUAAUUUAUUAUGAGUCAGCAUGCCACGUAAGUAAACUCUAACAUCUAUUAACUCAGACUUGAUAAGAGGGAUUUAUAUGUUAUAUUUUCUAAAAUAUAGAGAUUAUUUUAAACAUGAGUAAAUGAUAAGGGUUUAAGAGGCUUAUGAUGAAAACCAUAUAUUUAAAAUGAACCUUAACUCAAUUAAAAUUCAUAAAAGAAAUAACAAAUUAUAUCAAUUGAAUAUAUAUAUAUAUAUAUAUAUAUAUAUAUAUAUAUAUAUAUAUAUAUAUAUAUAUAUAUAUAUAUAUAUAUAUAUAUAAUCUUAAAAGAUAUAGUAAAAUAAAGGUGUGGAUCUGGAUCCAAAAUCCUAACCAUACUUCCACACUAGCCAUGUGACCUUGGAUGAUGACUAGAUUUUAAUUGCAUUAUUCGGUCAAUUAGUCCGCCACGUAGAAAAGUCGUCCAACUUUUACAAUUAUAUUAAUAUAAAAUUGUACAAAAAAUUUACGCUAAUCAUAUAUAUUUUUUAAAAAGAAAUAUCUGACUCUUUUUGUAACUCCGCACACGACAUCUUCUAGGAAACAAGAAAUCACUCUUUUUUACACAUGCACACAAUGUCUUAAUCAUCAGCGUAUUUCUUAGGAGACAAAUAGUCAUCUCAAACUUGCACAAGUUGUAAGCGUUUACUAUGUAGGAUUCAAAUCCUAGGAGAAAUAAACACUCUCAACAUAAGAAAGGGUAAAAGAAGGAACAACAGUCUUAGAACACAAGCAAAGUUUUUGUCUUCAGAUUUGGGGCACUGGUAAUCUUGGACAAAUUAAACUAGGAACUUGGAAUGGAAGCUGUCCAUUUGGGCCAUGACAGCCACUUGCCAGGUUAAACCUUUUUCACUGCCAUCUUUCAAGAACUAGCAUCUGCUAAUAUUAUUAUAAAUCAAUGGCAUUUGACUUCUUGGGGGCACAUAUUUCUGGUUCUCCUUCAAUUUUAUGACACUGGAGAUUGAAACAGGAAAGGAUGCAUUAAAGGCCAAGUUGUGACUUCUGGUGCUCAGCCUUUGACUUUGUAAAAUUGAACAGUACCUUAGAAUAAACUAGCAAAAGAAAUGCAAUAGAAGGUCUCCUAACCCUGGUUUCCCCAUAUCAAUCCUUUGGAAGAGUGGACAUAACAUAUUUUCCCCUUCAAAUUGUAAUUAUAUAUAUAUAUGUGUGUAUAUAUUAUAUCUCCAAGUACACUAAUAUUUUAUAUAUAUCAAUCAUGUCAGCAUCUGUCUUGCAAACUCAACUUAGCAACUAUUGAUCAUGGUUAUCAUCAAAUUUAAAUAAUAGCAACUAUUCUUUAUUACUUCAACAAUUAUUUGAUUUAUCAUGUUUCUCAACAUUUCUGAAAGGAUAUUAAUGUUAAAUUAAGUUUCAACAUCAUUAUACUAAUGGUCAACUCAUAAAUAUUAAAUUAAUGGAAUCAAUAUAAAAGUCACUGACUUUUAUUUUAGCAAUGCUAGUGGGUUCCCUUUGAAAAGAACCCAUUGUUGUUUAAGAUCAGUGUUGACAAGUGAAGCAUACCGUGUGCACUAUCCAGGACAUGAUGACCUACAACAGAAGAACUUCUAUAUCCUUUUGUCAUCUAGCAUUGUCUAGCUCAUUUAAUCCCAUUGAAGGAGGACUCUCAAAUGAUGCUUUUGCUUCAAGGGUGGUGUGUACUUCCACAGCAUAUCAAAAUAUUUUGUCUGCCACAUUUUAGAAUGGUCUCCUUACGCAACCAAACCAUCUCCUUUCUUGAGGAAAUGAUGUCCUCCACUUUAGUCAUUCACUCUACAGCAUAAUUUCCUGCACCACUCAUGGGGAAGGACAAAAGAUGGAGUGGGGAUGAGAUCCUGUGGUGAGACAAAGAUGGGUGUUUCUACUUGAUCUUUGCUUAGGUUUGGGGAGCUUUGGGGCACAAGCAAACAUGAGUGCAGCUCCUUGGGAGCUUCUUGUACCUCAUUUGCACUUUAGCCUCCAAGAUUGAUUGCACCAUGAACACCUUAGAGAAGGGACACCUUGAUGAAGGACCUUUGAAUUUUUCAUGAUAAUUUUUUUUUUUGAUUGGAUAUCCAGUUAUUCUAAAAGCUUUAGUUGUUCCUAAAUUAUCAUAUAUAUAUAUAUAUAUAUAUUACAUUUUAUAUGUCAUUUAAGUAUGUGCAUGAGAUUUUCGUCAAUGCAAUUUUAGAGAGGGUCAAAUGCUUAAUUUAAGCUAAAUUUAUAAAAAGGUUAUUUCUGUGAUACAAAUCUUGAUCACCUAAAUAUAUCAUUUAAGCUAGUUAAAAAAUAUUAUAUAAUAUUUAAUCAAAUGUUGGAUGAUAUAUAGAGAGAUGGAUAGAGACAUUGUUCUAAUUCAUAACCUCUUCUAAUAUCAUGAUAAUUAUUUUGAAUUAAAUUUCCAAAAUCUUCAAGAGUUUAAAUUGUCAGAAAAUGAUCAUGAUAUUAAAAUAUUUGACAAUAAAAGAUUUCAAUGGGGUAUCCAGAAAUUCUUAAAGCAUAAGUGGUUAGCAAAGAAUAUAGUAUUACAUUAAAUUAUAUCACCUCUCAGUUGUCAAAAAAGUAUAUAGUUUAAGUCAAUUAGGAAACAAAAUGCAGAUAUUAACUAAAUAUUAAAUGAUAUAUGGAGGGACAAAUGCAUGGUUCUGAUUCACAACCUGUUUUGAUUUGAAUAAUCAAAGAUUUGAAGAGUUUAAACUAUCAGAAAAUGAUACGUCAAUUGGAGUUACAUUUAAAACAAAUCUCCAAUAUAUAUUAGAUUCUAACACUUGAUGAUGAGUUUGUACCCACUAGGGAGGUUGAUGGAUCAUGGUGACAGUCUCCAUAUCCAUCUGGAAUAGGACAAGUCGAGUCCCCACUGGUGUAGGCAUUACAAGUAUCACCACCUAAUUUUGAUUCGGGGAUCACUUGAAGUCCACUUGUAGUGGCUUCACCACUUCCUUGUUGGAGCUGCAACACUAAACCUAAGAAAGGAUUGGUCGAUGCAUGCCCUAAUAAUGAUGGAGGACAGAGAUACGGCAAUGGACUCGUGCUAUGUCUAGGUUAGGUCAUGAGCUGUGCCUCCCCUAAUAAUGGCGUCCUUGCAUGGACUACUAAGCUAAAAGCUUAAUGUUAAGAUCUAGGAUUACAACGAUGCAACUUAGCUAAGGAUUCAUUGACUUUUCUCAUCAGCUUGUAGUCCAUACUUAAUGGAUGUCAGCUUCUUGGAAGAUACCAUACAAGCCAGGCACAUGGUACUUGCAGAUAUGAGAACCCCAGUGAUUCAUAUAAUUUAGCCUAUCUUAUCAAUCGAUAAGAUAGAUUAAAUUAUAAUAAAAUUAGAAAAUUGAAAGAAAUAAAAAUCAGGAGUCAUAUAAAUACCUACAAAGAAAUUGACCCACUUUGAUCCAAUGAUGAUGUAAGCACAAUGAGACACUAAUUAUACAAUGACCCACGUGGAUCUAGAAUCAUCUAGAUCCUUUAAUUAUUGGUCAGUUUGAUUCCCCCAUCAAUCUCAAAUCCAUUGGGAAAAAUACUUUUCUAAGAAAUUUAAUAUGAUACAAUUUUUCCCAACUAAAUGAACCCUUUCUGAUUUGCAAUACAAAAUAGUUGUAUCAUCUAUAUUUAAUCAAUCAUAUAACUUAAACAUAGAACGACGGAUUACUAGUUUUUUCAUGAUUUUGAUGUUUUGGGAAAGUCAUUUUGGAUAAUCCAUCUUGGGCAAAGUUAGGCUAACCACAAUGAUAUAUCUUACAGUCCAUCUUGGUAAGUUAGGUUGGCCAUAACGAUCGAUAUAUGUUGUUGAGAAAAUGGAUCAGGUUGGAUCUGACUUCACAAGUUAGGCUAACGACCAAAAUUGACCUAAUUAAGAAUAUACAUUUUUUUUGAAGUGAUGAGACUAUUCAAUUAGUCUCUGCCCAACCAGAACUCUACAGGUUCUAACCUAUGUCAUAGGGUAACUGGAGAUUUGGAUCCAGUAAGUUUGGACGCUGCAAGCAUCUUUCAACAGAGGACAAUUCAACACUUGCAAUAGAGUUAAACUAUGGUGUAAUGCAGCUAAUAUAACUCAUGUAAUCUAUGAGUGAUGGCUUUUAAUUCUUGAUCACAAAUCUUGAGACAGUGAGCUGAAACAAUCUAUUAUUAACUACACCCAAUCAGCUAGUUUUCUUCUGUUUAUAGGGUCGAGAGUUUGAACCAUCCCUACACUUCCUUUUGUCUUCGGCAAUAAAAUUAUUUUUUUCUAAAAAUAAAUAAAUAAAAAUUACUCUAUAUAAGUUCAGUACUUGAGAUGUCCAUGGAUGUAAAGGCGAGCACAAACAAACGGAUGAUCAAGCUGCUUGAUGUGUUUUUGAUCUACCAUGACAGGCUUUACACAUACUUCUCCCACCCCCAUUUUGGACACAUUAUUAUUUGCAUGAUAUGUGGGAUUGGAGCAGACCAUUUACUUUUUUUUGUGUGCUUUAGUUUUUGAUCCAUUGAUGAUGAGGCACACUCAUGGAUUGACAGUGAGUUUUUUCCCUUCUUUGUUAUGGUUUUAAUUAUGUGAUAAUAUUUUAUGAGAUAGAGAUAGAAAGUUCCUUCUUAAAAAAUAUAUAGUAUAGCUAAUAUACAAAUUUCUUUCGAAAUAUUAUAGCUAGGAACAUGGUCACACAUGUUAUCCCAACUAAUAUGGCAAUAGUCAAUGAUCCUAGGAGGCACUUCAGCUAGCAUCAACAUAUAUGUGCAUCAAUCAAGCCUGUGAUUAAGGUUGCAGGUCCAGUUGUAGAUUUGACCCAACCCUAGUCACCUACGAGUCAACAAUCAUAUUUGGACAUUUAGAUUCUACAGCUUCCAGUGAAUACAUUUGAUAUGGACUAAUUACCUAAAAAGACAAGUAAUUCAUUUGCAACACAUGUUUAAUUCUUUCCAAGAAAAUGAUUUCUCGUUCUAUCAAUAAGAAAAAUCAUUAACUAUCGAUAAGUUAAAUCUUUAUCAACUAAGCUAUAUGAUAUCUUUAAAAAAACAUUUUUCUGUCAAUAUUAUGGACCAUCACUGAAUUUACUUUUCUUGAUGACUGUUGCUUGGAAGCAAUGGAUGGAGUGAAUUGAGAGCUAAUCUUUCACAAUGGGUUGAGUCAGAUAAAUAUGACAUACCAUCUUCUAUCGAACUUGUGGCCUGACUGAGUUGAAAGCUAUUGGAACAAGCGGGAGAAGAAGGUGGUGGUUCUGAUGUGGUACAGGGAAGCGACAAGUCAUUUUCCCCAGGAGUACUUCCACUCCUGUGACUAUGAGCUAUUAUCCAUCUAUUAAAGCUCCUUCUCACAAUGUUUGAUAUGAGAGCAGAUCCUUUCUGCCUUUGGACUUUUAAUGUCUCGGGCUUUGAGAAAAAAAAAGAUAAAAAAAGGAAAAGGGAAGCACGUUUAAAGAUGAUCUGCUCUCAUUUAUAUUUCUAAUCUAUCUGCAUUCAUAGUUCCAACUGUACAAGAUGGUGCAGCAUGAGACACCCCAUUGAUUUGGUCAUUGUAUAUUUAUAUCUGGUUUCUGUUUACUUAUGAAAUAGGCAAUCAUGUUAAUAGCACUGGUCUUUUAACUUGAUUGAUUUGCCUAAAAUGUUUGACACUCUAAGCAACAAUUAAUUUAACCUCAUAUGAUGCCCAAGUGCCUGAAAAAGCUACAAAUGAACGUAUGUGCAAACUGUAAGCUCUAGUGAGGCACAUAAACUUGGGAUUACAAUAAUUUUAAUGGCCCUUAGAAUGCUUUGUAAGUUCUAAAUGGUCAUCUCCUAUUGACAGUUUAAUAGACAAAAAUUCAAUUCACUUGUAGUUUCAUUUUUUGUGGCAUAUGAAAGUUUUUAUGUACAUGUGUAGUCUACUCCCCAAAAUUUUGAAAUGAGACUCAUGUCCUGAUGAUUAUAUUCCUUGGCAAAGAUAAUUCUGAAAAGUUUAGGCUUUCUGAGAACAGCUUUUGAAUUUGAGUUUUAAAGAGACAGAAGGUUCAUUUCAAAAUUAUAACUUUUGCACAGACAUUGAUGAGAUUACUGCUAAUAUUGUUUGUACUUUGCUUAAACAAGACAAUUGUUUAGUGGAUUAGCGGGAUGAGAUUUGUGACGGAGAAUCCUAAAUAAAUUCCAUGUUGAUUGCCAAAAAGAUGGGUGCACUUUUUCUUUUUCAGGGUCUUCACAUUUCUGCUAUUAUUAAGUCAACUUAAUAAUAACAUCAAUCAUAGACGUCUAAUUUUAACUAAGUCCUAUGAUGCACUCACAUUCUCUACAUGUAAAUAUUUGAAACAUAAACUCAGGAUCAUACAAGAAUGACUCAAUAAAAUAACUUGAUAAUAAAGUAAAGUUGGAUAAUUUCAUCACCUUUCAACGAUCCUACUAUUUAAUCUAAGGUUAAAUCAUUGUAUGUUUCGCAUGCUUAUAUGGUGUGGGUUUCUAUCUAUGCAUGAAAACUUUGUGGUAAUUUUAUUUAAUAUAUUCAAAUUUUGGGUUGUGUUGCUUUGCUUUUCUUUUUUGCUUACUUUUAACUCUCGGCUGAGCUUAUAACAGCGUCAGCCGAGCCAAAACUGGAGCCGUCCCGACCCGAGUCAGCUCCAAUGACACACCCUAACUCCGAAUUCUACCUACCCUGGUGGGACCCACCGGUCACCUCCACUUGCCGGUAAAGAAAUUAAAACCUGGUCUCCUUUUUGUUUCCGCCUUUAACCUUAACCGCGGUCUAAGUAACUCCGCUCACCACCCCUCCCUUCCUGUUCUUUAUAUUAGCCCACAACGCCUCCUCUUUCCUCUGGCGCUCGCUGCUUUCAAGUUUCCCGAUACCCACACGGAAGCCCAUCAACGAGAGAAGAAAUAGGGGAAAUCGAUGCCGGAAACAGCAGCGAGGGGAGGCGUUUGAGCACAUACCUUGUCCGUGGCUCCGAUCGGCGGAGGAGAUGACGGUGUUCGCCCACUCGAUGGGCCGUGGCAGCGAAGGAGCGGCAGGAGGAGUCGCGGUGACGAUGAAGGGCGCGGCGGGGCGGCUGCAGGUGCACCCGCUGCCGGACUACGGCGCGGAGGCGUCGCAGCGGCUGGUGGAGGUGGCCCAGCGCGGGGACGCGAGGGAGGUGGCGGAGUCCCUCGCGGACCCGGCGGUGGAUGUGAACUUCGCCGGAGCGGUGUGCCUGCGGGCGCGCCGGGCCACGGUGUCCCUUCGGGAGGAGGCCGCCGACGAGGUCCUGGUGGAGUACGAGGAGAUCCGCACUGACGCGUCCGCCCUCUUCCUCGCGGCCCACGCCGGUGAUCUCCUCGUCGUUCGCAAGCUCCUGGUUCGAUCUCCUCGCUCAUCCCUCUCUUCUCUACUUUGAAUUCUUCUGCUUCGACCUUUUGGCCCUUUGAUUGACCUCCAGAUUAAUAUAAACAUUCUUUACUAUUUAUUAUUCAUUAUUUUCUUUAUGUCUUAUUUUUUAUUUACUUAAUUUUUCUUGUUUUCGAAAAUUAUUAUACUGAUUUCUGCAUUUAUUAUCACAAUUAUUUUCCUACAAUAAACUCGAGUUGUCAAAAGAAAUGGGUGCACUUUGGUUCGGGUUCGUGACCCGCAAAGCUGUACCCGAUCCAUUAUUAUAUACGUUCUCGCACAAUUCCAUUUCUCUUUGGAUUAUUUCACUAUCCGUUUGCUUUUCUUGAUAAGUAGCUAUAGCUUCCAGAAUGUGUUAUCGGAUUCGGGUCGAAAUUUCUCCCAUUGAGGGCCAUUGACUUGCCUCAUAGUUUCGAAAAUUAAAGAAAGUUCUUUGUCCAACACAUGCCCCUUGGACGAUCGCAAAAUCCCAACCGUCCGAUCGGAGAAAGGGUGUCGUCCCGUGAUUCGCGUCAUCUGCCGGCCCCGGCCAGGAAUGGAAUCACACCACUUAGCUGGCAUAACUGUUCACCACACACACUCUCUCUCUCUCUUCAGUGCUUGCACGGAUAUGAUGCGACCAACUCCGUACCCCUUCCUCGGAUCAAUUUCCCCUUCGAUUUGAUCCCAAAUUGCUGAGAAUUAAUGGAAUUGUGAUUAGGGGCCUCUUUAAUUCCCGCGAGGAGCGCAAGGUCACGUGUGUUAUCGACAAGCAAUUCAAUGCGCCCCAUCUCGUCACACGCGCGGGAAGGAGUUUUAGUACACGAGCACCCUUUAUGGCAGUCCGAAUUGUCGAUCUGUUCUCAGCACAGCGCAGCUUAGCGCGUACGGCGCCGUAUCGCGCGCGACUUCGCAUCUCUACCGUCCGAUUGAUCCUCCAUCCUUGAUCUCUCGUCAUCAAGAGUGAUAAGUGCAAUUAAUGAACAAAAAAGACGUGCUUUUUGUUUCUUUCUGGGUGAUUUACUGAUUAAUUUAGUUGCAUUAAGAUGAUUAGAGCUUAAGAAUUCGUUAUAGUUAGCUAAUUUUGAUGAUUUUGGUGGAUUGUGGGUGAAGGAGAAAGGCGCCGACGUGAACCAGAAACUGUUCCGGGGACACGCGAUAACGGCGGCGGUGAGGGAGGGGCAGACAGAGGUGGUGGAGGCGUUGCUGAAGGCCGGAGCAUCGCAGCCCGCCUGCGAGGAGGCUGUGGUGGAGGCCAGCUUGCACGGGAGGGCGAGCCUCGCGGAGUUUCUCAUCGGCACCGAUCUCGUGCGUCCCCGCGUCGCCGUCCAUGCGCUCGUCUUGGCCGCCUCCAGGGGAUUCCUCGACGUCGUCGACACCCUCAUCAAGGUAAUUCUCGGUGAUGAUUUAGUAGCACGUCGAGUUCAUUUCGGUCUUUCCAUGAUAACCAUAGUAAUGUUUAUGAGUUCCAUUGCCCUAACCGAGGGCAAGGUGUUUUUGGGGAUUCCAUUUGUGUGUCGUCUCACAGCCAGCUUUCGAUUGUACCCUUGAGAAGGUUUAGACUUUAGAUGUGAAGAAACCAUUAAUUAGGUGGAUUAAGCAAGAAAAAUUGGAUUUUUGACUGUCUCGGCUUUAGUAUUUUUUGCUUGAUUAAAAGAUUCUUUUCGUUGGAUUAGCAAAAGAGGUCAGAUCUUUGUCAAUUCUGUUGUGUUCAGCAAAGGAAUUGUUCCAAUCCACCAGUGAUGCGUGGUUUGAUCUCAAUGCUCAAUUCAUAUGCAGUGCGGAGCGGAUCCGAACGCGACAUCUCGUGUGCUGCUGCGCUCGCUGAAACCAUCCCUCCACACCAAUGUCGACGGCACCGCACUAAUCGCCGCCAUCGUCAGCCGUCAGACCGCCGUCGUCCGGCGCUUGUUGCAGGUACUUCUGACACUCCACCACUCAUGCGACGUAUUCGUUGAUCAAUAGAUCUCUGAUGAUGUACGGGUGCCCGCUCAAGGCCGGAGUGCGGAAGGACGCCAAGGUGAGACUAGGUGCAUGGUCAUGGGACACCACCACCGGCGAGGAGUUCCGUGUCGGCGCCGGUCUCGCCGAGCCCUACACCGCCGCUUGGUGCGCGGUCGAGUACUUCGAGUCCGCGGGCACCAUCCUCCGGAUGCUCCUGCAGCAUCACUCUCUCAACGCUCCGCAUUGUGGCCGCACGCUCCUCCACCACGCCAUCCUCUGUGCCAAUCCUCGAGCCGUCGACACCCUCUUGGCCUGCGGUGCCGAUUGCGAGCUCCCGGUCAAGACCAGCCGGAAGACCGAGUUCCGGCCGAUCCACAUGACUGUCCGACUCGGCCUGGCUUCCAUCCUGCAAAUCUUGAUCGAUAAGGGGUGCGACCUGAACUCGAGAACCGACACCGGAGAGACGGCGUUGAUGCUAUGUGCGCGCUACAACCGCGAUGACUGCCUGAGGAUUCUUGUGACGGCCGGCGCUGAUCUUGGCCUGGUGAGUGUGGCUGGGGUGUCUGCCACCAAGGCCGCCGCUUGCAGCCAUUGGAGCAUCAGUUUUCAGCGUGUAGUCGUCGACCUGAUUCGGGCAGGAACGGUUCCUCGAUCGAGCAAUCCGUCCGUCUUCUCCCCGAUCAUGUUCGCGGCCCUAUGUGGCGACGUCGGAUCCUUGGAGGUGCUAUUGACGCGACCAGAUAUUGACAUCGACGGACAAGACGAGGAGGGGUACUCCCCGCUCAUGGCGGCAGCCAAAGAGGGCCACGUCAACGUGUUCCGCGUCCUGGUCUUCGCCGGCGCCAACGCGAAGCUCUGCAACAAAGCGGGAGAGACCGCAAUCGACCUUUCCCGGUCGAAGGAGAACCGGGAUCUCUUCGAGCAGGUGAUGCUUGAAUUCACUCUCGAGAGAGGGAGUGCCGGGGGGUUCUACGCUCUGCACUUUGCGGCUCGGCGAGGAGACAUGGCCGCCGCGCGCCUCUUGACCAAGAGAGGGUGCGACGUGAACGCCGUCGAUGGAGAUGGGUACACUCCACUGAUGCUGGCAGCGAGAGAAGGCCACGCGGAAGUAUGCCAGCUCUUGAUCCACGGCGGAGCCAAGUGUGAUGCCAAGACGCAUAGAGGCGAGACGGCGCUUUCGCUGGCGAGAUCGAACGCGAAGCUCGGAAAGGAUGCGGAGAACGUGAUAUUGGACGAGCUAGCCAUGGCGCUGGUUCUGCGAGGCGGCCAUGUCAAGAAGCACACCAAGUGCGGGAGAGGGUCGCCGCACGGGAAGGUGUUGAGGAUGGCGGCGGAGGCGGGGGUGCUGCAGUGGGGCAAGGCGAGCCGCCGGAACGUGGUGUGCAGGGAGGCAGAGGUGGGCGGGAGCUCAGCGUUCCAGAGGAACAGGAAAGGGAAGGGCGAUAGACGCGAGGCGGGGCUGUUCCGGGUGGUGACCGCCGGGAAGAGGGAGGUGCAUUUCGUGUGUGGAGGAGGGGAGGAGGCGGCGCAGCUUUGGGUGCGAGGGAUCAGGCUUGUGACGAGGGCAGCAUCGGGCAACGGAUCGUCUAACAGCACUGCGGCCUUGUAACUCGUUGCGAGUACUGAGUCAACCGAGAAGGGUGUUUUGGCAGGGACGAAAUAGGAACGGUGUGUCCAUAGUGAAGCCAAGACUUCAUCUUGAAGUCAGGGCUUCUCUUCUCUCUUUUUGGCCCUCUCCUUGAAAGGCCUAUGUGAAGUUUGCUUAGAUCAAAUGUUAGAUAUGUUUCUGAUGUCUGGAAUUUGAUUGUGUUCAACUUCAUAAUUCUCAUAAAUUAUACUACGUGGAAUGCAAGGCAUAAAACUGAAUAGAUAAACUCAUAACAUUUACACAAUACUCCUAUUACAUUAUGAGUCAGCAACACAGCAUUUAAAUAAUUAGUAGCGGAAAAAUUAGUGGGUCUUUGUUAUCAUCAAAAUUUGUCAUCGAUCCACCUUACAUGGUUGAGUCAAUUAGGUCCAUUUCCAAAAGGACGUUGUGUCUCUUCUGAAGUCCCUUACUCAUAAAAUUAACAUCACAUAAGCUAUCGACAUGACCAUUUUAACAAUACAAUUAGUAGAUCUUAUGUGAGAGUGCGAAGUGAGAUUUUUCGGUCCUGAAUGAUACAUUGAAGACUUUUAUUUAUAGAGUGGUAAGAUCAUAAAAUAAGAAAUAUUUUUAGAUAAAUCUACUCCGAUUUUUUCCCCGUCCCCCCUAAAUACACCCUCGAACUUGAGAAGAGCAUGCGUGCACUAAAAAGAAAAGCAGGAGUCGACUUAACAUUCUAGGUGGCUCACAUCCGGUCCCAGAUAAAUCGAUCCGACGGCUGACAUCAUUCCGUGGCUACCACGGUUUUCUUCCCCGUUCUUUGAUAAAUUCACUCCACUUUCAUCAGCUCAUCCCUGAUGAGACGCGCGGGCUUGAGAAGAACAUGCGUGCAAUAAUGAAAAACAUGGAGUCAACUUAACAAUCGACGUGGCGCAUUAACCAUCCACGGUUGACAUCAUUCCGUGGGUAUCACGCUUUCUGCCGGAUUCUUUGAUAAAUUUACUCUACUUAGAGGUCACAAGAUCCUGAUCAUACCCCGCGGUCUCAGAAGAACAUGCGUGCGCUAAAGGAAAAAUAGGAGUCGGCUUAACAAUCAACGUUGGGCUUCAGAGCAUCCACGGUUGAUCCCAGUAAAUCGAUCCGACGGCUGAUAUCAUUCCGUGGCUACCACGCUUCACCAUCCACCCCAGAUUAAGCUGCGAGGUCAAUCCGACGGCUGAGAUCUCCCCGUCGCCACCGGCUCGUGUCGGGAGAAGAUAAUGGGCGGAGUCAUCCACGGAUUCCCAGGCUUGGCACGUGUCGGUCUCCUAUCUGCGAUUAAAAUUGCACAUGAGCUCCUUACAAAAUUUUAUUUUCUAAUCACACCUGUAUCAUAUCAACGCGAACUUUAAAGCGUUCGUUUUGGUUUGUACAGGGGGUAUUAUGAAAAUAUUCAAGUCUUUCGGGAGUCAUGUAGAAUUCGAUGAUCGCUCGGGGCUAAAAAUAAAAUAUAGGUUUUAGGAAGGGAUAUAUAGGUAAAAUCAUUAAGUUUUAAUCGGGGCAAGUUUCCCUUAUUCUUUCUCUUCUUCCUACGCUUUGUCCGCUCACCUCUUCGCCGUAGAAGGGGGAGAAAAAGAGGUUUUGUUCGCUCACCUCGGCCGCAGAAGGGGGAGAAAUUGAGGAUUUGGGCUCUUCUUCUCCGCUCUAUCCGGAACCCUAGGUUUCUACCUCUCUACCUCCUUCCUCCUCUCCCUUUACCAAUUCGUCUUCCCUGUGAUUUCGUUGCUUGAAUUUGUGGCCGACUUAUUCUUCUUAUUCUAUUGAUCGGCGAGAAAAAGCCAAAAAAAAAUCAUCUUUGAAUAUCUUUGUGUUAAAAUUUGAUGUGUUGAAGAAUUGAUUUGAUGAAAAGGUCAAGUCUUGAGGAUUUGUUGGGGUUGUUGGGAGUUAGAUCAGAUUAGUCUUGUUUCUUGUCGUUUGCUCGAUAGGUUUGAUCCUGUAUUCAGAUCUCUUUCUAUUUGGAAUCUGGUUCAAGAGGCUCAAUGAAAUUUUUGGGGCUGGUUUUUUGUUUGCUAUCCAAAAUCGAGGGUUUUCUUGGGGGUCCUGAACAUUAGGUUAGGUUAGAUCAAAAUUCUUUUGAUUCAGAAGGUGGAUUGAACGAUAGGAAAUUGAGGUGCUUUAGGGUCCUCGUUAGAGUGGGGAUGGCACUGAAUUUCUCAUCUUGUUCUAUCUUUUCUACCGCAUUCGUUACCGAUGAUGAGUUCUGCCGACCGAGAUGUGAGAGGAGCCAACCCUUUAGUUACCCUUUUUCGUCUGGCUGGGAAAAUGGAAAUGGUUAUGGCUGGGAUAGCGGGUCAACAGGCGUGGAUGGUGCUUGUGAUCCAGUCGAUCUGCUACCUGAUGACCCAUUUGGGAUGGGGAUCGAUGGUGCAUUAGCCAGUUUUCUCGAGGUCGGUGGUGGAGACUUGUAUGGGUGGGCUUUGUUGUGCUCGCCGGAAACUGAGAUUUACCAUGAUGGUUGGAUGGACGAACUUGAUGGUUGGGCGGAGGAGAGCUUCAUGGUGGCUUCUGUUCAUGAAGCCCAAGAUGGAAACUUGGAAUCUGCCUUGGAUAUGCAAAAAUCUUUAAACUCUGAUCGUGCAGCGGAAGCCCACUCUAGUGUGGAUGAGGGUCUUCCGCAUGAGGGACUGCUCUACUCGCUUGGGUAUUUGGGCAUUCAUGAUCUUCUCUCAGUGGAAGGGGUCUGCAGGUCCUUGCGUUUGGCUGUUCAGAAUGAUGCUCUCUUGUGGAGAUGUAUACAUAUUGAUUCUCUUUUGGGUGAGAAGAUAACAGAUGAUGUUCUGUUGCGGUUAACACAGAGAGCUCAAGGGAAUCUGCAGUGCUUGAGCCUGUCAGGUUGUUCAAGGAUUACAGAUGAUGGCGUGAAGUGUGUACUUGACAAUAAUCCAAAGCUGAAGAAGGUUAGUAUUAAUAAGAAUGAUCGUGUGUUUACCAUUUCUAUCAUUCUGAACUCAUUAUUUGAUUAUUUCUUUAUGUUAUAAUUUAACUUGCAGAAGAUUUUUUUAGCAUGACUGUAUUUAGUAGUGCUUCUGCUAAUCAUUUACUAUUUAGAUAUUCAGCACAAGUGAACAUAAAGCCAUCAUGUCAUAGAUUACCUCUAAUGUUAUGGUUUGGUGAAAGCAUCAAAGAUGAAAGCUAAUUCCAUGUAUGAGUUGUAUGUAGCUCUUAAUGUAGCAUAAAUAUAACAAUAACAGAUAAACUUGCUUUCCUGGUCUAGGGUGUUUUUUGGCCGGUCACAACUUACAUCAACUCGAUGGAACUCAUCGAAUCACUUGAUUGUAAGGGAAAAAAGUAAUAUGAAGUUAUCGAUAGAUGUAUUGUCUUUACUUGUAUAAAUUUUCUCAUUUUGGAUGGUGAUUCUUGCUACUUGGUGCAAUUUAUUUAAUGCAUGCUAACCAGUUAGUUUAGAUCACUGUUCAUAUUUUAUUCGUGCAAAGUAAUGAGCUUAAUAAAAAAGACUGGGAAAUAAAUGUUUAACCAUGAAAUAGCAGACUUUGUUGACCUCUUAACUGCCAGAUUAGCUGUAUUUGAAGAUUUAUUGAUGAGAUUUUUUAACUUCAUGAGCCUCUUCGUUGUCUAGAUUUUGUUAUGAGACCAACAGUUGCAUGCACAAAUAUGUAUAUGUUUCUAAUUUCUUAAAUUUUCUGGCUUGACAUUUUGACCUUUUGAAAUUUUUGUAUAUGACUUGUUUUCUUUGAAGAAUAGAUCUUCUUGAAUUAUGCAUCAACUUCUAUUUUCUAAGUGGAAGAUAAAUGGCAUAUCCAUUUUAGUGCAAGAUUUUCAAACAAUUAUCUUCCUGAGAAGAUGAACUAUCUUCCAAAAUUUCUAUAUGGUUUAAUAUUUUCUUAAAGAAAAAUGUACAUGUUACAAAUGAAGUGUAAUACUUCCCAAACCCAAUUCUUAGGAAGCUUAGUUAAAAACCUAAUAGUAUAACUCUUAUAAAUUGGUUAUUUUCUUCUUAUCAAUGAAAGAAUUUGAAUGAAAGUCCAGAAUGAUUGAGCUACCGAAAUCAAUCAAUAAAUAUGAUCUAAUACUUUGUCCAAUAUAUAUGAGUUGCUUCUGAAUUCCUUGUAUUGCCUAUUAAUUGAAUUUAAAAUUUAACAAGGGGUGAAAUUGAAGAAGUUGAAGAGUCCAAGCAGAUAGAAAUUAUUUCCCUUCUUUUCAAAUUGGUAUCAAAUAACUAGUAGUCCUUUCUUAUUAUGAUUAUAGAGCCACUGCUUGUAGUCAUAGUGGGUAAGUUACAUGUUGGAAGGGAGAUUUAGAGGAUAGGUAUUUAGAUGUGGAGUUUUCUUUUUUGUGUGCAUAGGAUAAGUGAUGAAGACGGGAUUCGAAUCCAGGACCUUACGAUAAUCUGUCAAGGUCUUUACCAUUUUAGCUAAUUGACACCUUCAAAUCUGUUUGUUGUAAGAAUUGAACAAUUAGUUGUUAAUAUAAGUUAAACAUUAUCAUCUAAGCUAUAAAGUAUAUAAGAUGAUGUGGAUGGUUGACCAUAUAUUAGCAAAAGGAUUGUGGUGGUGUUUUUAACUGAUCUCCUCACUUGGUUUGGUUGGAGGAGCAGAGGCCACCUGCGCGAAAUUUUUGGAAUUAUACUGUAUUGCAUUAGUCAGAAUCAGCAAGGUGGGCUUAACAAAGUCCAUGAUAUGUGAGAAUCACUUAAAAAAUGGAGAGGCUCUCAAGGGAUCUUGUAUUGUAGUUUAGAUGUUCUUUGUUAUGCAUAUAGGAUAUCCCAAUGAAUGUGAACAUGCAUAAUGUUUUCUAAUCUGAACAGUGUCAUGAUUUUUUUACUAGAUGUAUGCUUUCUAUUGUUUGUUCAAAUUUAGCAAUUUUUGAUCAACCAUGCUUGGGCUAUUUCUUCUUUUAAUUCUUGUUUAUGGAUGAUAAUAUGUAACACCUGAAGUUUAGUCCCACAUUGGAAGUGGGUGAAAACUUUAACAUAGUUAUAAGGACUGAUGAGUGCAUUAUUAUUAAUUUAGGCUUAAAUAUUAUGGGCCAAUGGUCCAAACUUAAUAAGUUAUUUGGAUAGCAAUCUCAUUGGGUUGGGUCACAAUAAAUGAUAUCAUAAGUGCUUGGCUAGGUAAGGACAUCAAGUUAUUUGGAUAGUAACCUCAUUGGGUUGGGUCACAAUAAAUGAUAUCAUAAGGGCUUGGCUAGGAAAGGACAUCCUUGACGGCAUGACAUAAUCUCUCCUUAUGUAGGGGAGAUUAUAAUACUUGAAGUUUACUCCAAUAUAAGUAGGUGAAAACCUGAAUUUAGAUGAGUAUAGUAUAUUUAAUAAUAUGGCAAGCAUUGAUUUAGGCUUUGUAAGUAUUGAUCAAUCAUCUCUUCAAGUUGGGUCGUAGUACUAGCUAAAUAAUAUUUAUGUUUCACAAAUAUAUUACAUAAUAUACUUAUGAUAUAGGUUAUUUGAAGUUAAAGUCAUGAGGCGUCCUUGCGACAUAUGCGUCCGCAAAGGGUCAGCCUAGUUGCAACCUCAUACAUGUCCCGAAGGAUCUGUAAAACAGAAAGUUGAUUAGAUUGAAAAUGAGCGACAGACAAGUCUCGACGCCCCGCGAAGAGGGAAGCUUUACAAGCAAUUCAGCGAGCACCUUGAGUGCAAGAGAGAAAAGAGAGGAAGGAGAAAACAAGGAUUUUAGAAGGUAGAACGAACAGGUGCAAGUCCACAAACAAUUGCUCACCGGGUGCCGAGCGUGAAGGCAAGUUCCCUUUAAGUUAACGUGCGAACUUGUGAAGAUUGUUCAACGCCCGACACUUUACCGAAGCCCCAUCCAGCCCCAUGCCACCCGGGGGGUUCUAGGGUGCUGAGAUGGUUGACAUUUUGCGUGCAGCUGCGGUCUGCAUAAAACAGGUCGUGGCACGCGAAAACGGAGCCAUUUUGGGGCAGUUUUGCUCGGCGUGGUGAGCGGUCGCACUGUAGCGCUGCAAUUCGUUCGAACAUGCAUUCUUACAAGUAAAAACACAUAAAACCAAGGCAAAACAUGCUGCCAAGCAUUUGUACAUAGAUGCAAAAGCAACGAACGGUUCGUUUAACGAAGUUGUUGCAGGUGCACAAUGAUCGUUCAUGACAGUACGUCAAAUUUCUAUGCUUAUGUAAUGUGUAUGUUAAUGCUAUCGUUAUACCUAAAUCAUGGCAAUUAUAUCUAUCAAAACAAACUUUUGAAAAUAUGUUAUAAAAGUACAGCAUUGCAAUAGCAUUGUAUUGCAGUAAAUUAAGCUUAUUUUACUUGAUUUGAUUCAAAAGUGAAGUGAGAGAAAAAGAUCAGCGAGUACAUGUUAAAUUUGGAACAUGUGGUCAUGCUAUGCAUAUGAUGCCUGAAUGAAGAAGCUUAGCUCUAAAUAUAAACUGCAAUUUGUUGAAAUUUUUUGGCAAAAUCUCCCCAAAAUAGAGUUUACCCGACUUGCAAAUUCAUUUAAAUUCUAACAGAAAUUGGUUAACAACUUAAUAUAUAAUCAAUCGACAUAGUUGUUAUCAACCAUACAACUAUACAGUUCUGCAUCUGUAUGAAGUAAUCUUAUUCCAGUUCAUUGCCAAACUAUCUUAUAUCAUCAUAAAAUUUUCUAAAAACCCAUAAGAUAUAUAAAAGUAAAUAUAUACAAAAUUUCAGCUCAAAAUAUAACUAUUUAAAGGUCCAACUAUCCUCUUAGUUUGACUAUCAUCAUCUCGUUCUGUUGGAACUAGAUUAAUGAUGUCUGAACUUUUAAGGCUCAUAUCUUGGUGUAUAGAAAUAUUAUUCACUUAAUUCUAAAGCCUAUGAAAUCCUAAGGCAUGCUUCUAACACAUAUAUAGAAGUACAUAAGCCAAUGUAUUAAUGAGGGUUUCGAACUGGCUAGAAUGGAAUCCUCCGAGUACUCACUGUUAAUAUAUCUUUAUGCACAGGCUUUGGAUUAAAGCUAUUCAAGAACCCAUAGAACCAUAACUUGUACAUAUACAACUUAUUCCCCUUUAGCAACUAUCUUAUGGUUAAACCUGUAUAUUUCUAUGGUCUGUCAUGUCUGAGUUUUUUGUACUUUAGUAUGUUAAGGCCAGGGAUGUUUUUGUUGGUGGUUAUAUUCCCCCUCUGCAAAUACUUGAUUUUGAUUUUCUAAAGUUAAUUAAGGAUUGCAAUCUGCAUGUUAUAAUCUAGUGAAAAGGAAAAAGAAGUUUUUUGCCCCCAUCUAUCUACUGCAUGUUCUGGUUAUAUUUAUCAUAUUCCAUUUAUGUAUGUAUGCUAAUUUGGUAUAAUGUAUGACCUUACAUGAGAGCACGAGCUUUGGUGACAUGAUAGUGACAACUGUUCAAGUUGUGUAAAUAUCUUCUUGCUUGCAAGGAUUAAGGCUGCAUAUGUUGAUCCUUCUUAGACUCCAUAUUAACAGGAGCUUUUUCACCAUGCCAACUUUUUUCUGACCAUGCAUAGUUUAUUUAAUUGUGACAUGUUUAUAUUAAUGAUUAUUUUUUUGGUUAUGCAGCUAAGUGUUGCUGGAUGUGUGAGACUAAGUCUUGAUGGGAUCAUAAAUAACCUAAAGGCUUUCCGAUCACAAGGUACACCAGGAAUAGAGCACCUCAAGCUUGGGAGGCUUUUCAGCAUAUCAGGAGAACAAUUUGGAGCGUUGAAGUUGUUGCUAGGCAUAGACCAACAUCAACAGGCCCAAGCUCAGAAGCCAAGGUUCUACCACACAAGUGACUCAUCUCUUGUUUGCGAUGACGACUGCAUCAUUGAUGUUGAAAUGUGCCCAGUGUGCCAGAAAUACAAACUCGUUUAUGACUGUCCUUCAGAGGGUUGUCAAGAAAAGGGUCCUAAGCACUGCAGGGCUUGUGACUUUUGCAUUGCCAGGUGUAUCCAGUGUGGGAAAUGCAUCAAGGAUUGCAUGUAUGUUGAGACAUUUUGUCUCGAAUAUCUAUGUUCAGGUUGUUGGAAGGAAGCACUCGCAGAACAUAGAAGCAAUGAAGAGAAGUGAAUUUGCUUUAAUAUAGUGUUAGUUGUUCAUUCAAUUUGUUCCUUAAUAAGAAUUUCAAAACCAGGUGUGAUUUUAUUCUUUAUCUGUAUUGGGUUUGGAGGCUUUGUACGUUUAUACCUUUUGGUGGAUCAGUAUUUGAUCUUCGUCAGUCUGGAAUUGGAGCAAUAUAUGGAAGAAAAAAUGAACCAUUAAUAAAGAGAUGAACUUGAAAAAAGGAAAAGGAAGUUGUUGACAUUAUACAGUGUUUCUUUAGUACAAUCAGCCAAAAAACAAUACAACCAUGAAGAUAAGAUGUGGAAGCUGAUUGCCAGGUAUUUUUAACUUGCUUGUCUAUUUUAUUCUUUCCAGGUUGAAUUGGAUACGAGACUAACUACAGACUUCUCUUCUAUUGCCUCUUUUGCAGUGAAUCAAUUGCAGCUCAACAUCAAUAUUACCUGUGUGUCAAAAUAUGUGUGCUAAUACGCCAGUGAACUGUGUCCAUGCUGAAAAUUAGAAGAUCAUCUCAGGUGGCUGUCAGAGGACACUCUUUCGUCAGCACAUCGGUUCGUGCUCUCUGCCCUAGCCAUGGAGAGCCGAGAGUUCAUCCUCCCAAUUCAGUAGAUUGCUAGGAGUGAUAUCUCAAGGAUUGCUGAUCCAUUUGGUAAGUAGUGUGGUAGUUGUUCUAUGCAAUUUCAUGUUGAAAAUGGUUUUCUGCAAAGCUGCACUAAAAAAAUGUCUUUGUGACUCCAAGAAUCCUUCUCUAGUGAUGGACUGUGAAUUUGAUUUCAUCUUAGCUGCACGCUGGAGUCAUCUAUACUCUCCAUUUUGGAGUUGCGAACAUUAUUUGUUGUCUUUAGAUUUGCAAUGACAAUGAUGAGUGCAGGGUGUACAGAAAUGGUUUCUUAAUCGAGUUCUAUAAAUUCUGUUGCACUAUAAGGAGUCUUGUCUUAAUAGGUAGGAUCUGUUUUGUUCAACUUAAAAGUUGUAUAGUUCUCCACUGGGUUUAUAUUGGUUGAAGUGUACCAAAGAUUUUUCAUGAAUUGAGUGAAUUUAUGGUGUGAGGGUAAAUUUAUAGUUGCAAGAUAGGAUAAGAGCUCUGAUUCCAAUGAUUCAAAAAGGAUUUCUUAGCACAGUCAUUCUAAAAAUAGAUGGAAAUAAAUUGUAUCCAUAAGACUUGAAUCUAUACCAAAGGUGUAGAAGACCUUUAUUAUUUUGAUUCUUACCAUUUUUUAUUGGAUAAAAAGAAGUUUAUGCAACAAAAUGUUUUAGCAAUAGAACAGGAUCAUGUCAAUGGUAAAGGUCUUUAUCUGAUAGGUUACUUGAAAAUUUCCAAGUAUAUUAAUUUUGUUCUAUUUUUGUACUUAAAAGUUAAUUUUGUUCUAUUCUUGUACUCCAAAAAUCCUGAAUGGGAAAGCUAAGAUAAGAUCUCCCAUUUAGGAUUUGUCAACCAUUGGCCUUCUGCAUCGAUCUACCGUUUUGUUUCAUCCGUUUCUUUCUUGGGUUCCUCCUCUUACAUUUUGUCUCCUUUGUAUUCGGUAUGACAUUGUGACAUUUUGUCUCUUACAUUUAUCACAAGGUUUACAAUAUUAUUCAAUAUAAUUUGGUAUAACAUUAUAAGCGUGGUAUUUAUUGGUUUGACGAUAUAUUAGUACAUGGACCAUUCAAGAUUAUAUUCUUUGAUACAGGGUUUGUAUCAUCCUAGUAUGUUCGACACAAUGCUUGUGUUACCCAAUGUGAGAAAGGAAUAACCUCACAUUAGUGUAACAUCUUAUUUUAAAUGUCAUUCAUAUUCUACAUGAAAUUUAUGACUAAAAGUAGGAUAUCAUUUUUUACUACUAUCAAUAAUAGUUUAGUGAAAAAGUAGAUAAUCUUAAGAGUAUAACAUAUUAAUUUACUAAAUAAAAUGAUAGGGUUUCCUCGACACAUAAUGAUUUUAACACAUGUAUAUAAUUAUAAUAUUUAAUAAAAAAAUAUGUAUAUAUAAUUAUAAUAUCUAAUCAAAAGAAAAACACAUAAGUAACAAUAUAUCCGAAAUUUAUACACAUAAAAAAUGCUAUAAGUCAUUGUUUGUAUUUGUAUAGAUUUUGGCUCUUUUAUCGAAUCAUUAGGUGGGAUAUUAGUAUUCUUAUAUGUAAAAUAUGGUCUAUAAUGAGUAAUCAUUUAGUAAGUAUAAGUCUUUAUAGGUGAGUAUAUGCCAUGUUAUGUAUAUAAUAUUUUAAAAUCAUAGGUAUAAGACAUUUAACGGUAAACACUUCAUCGUAUGACUUAUUUAGCAAGCAUAAUCCUACAACAUAGUAUAUUAACAUAUGCACAAUAAAAAGAUCAAAAUUUUAUAUCGAAAUAACUCAAAAUAUUUAUAUGCACAUGUAGGAAUCGUAGCAUAGAUUUUUACAUCUCUUAUUAUAACCUAUAUGUGUAUUCCCAUAUUGCACGUCAUUGUAAUAUCUAUAUACGCUCCUACAUUAUACUCUCAGGAACGGUUGUUACACACCUACAAUAAUUUUGGGUCGUUCAUUACUUUUGUUUGCUUAUACAUAUAUUUGGGUAAUAUGUUUUGCCUCGUCUUUUAGUGUUUUUGUUUAAAAACUAUAAGCAUCAAUAGUUGCAAGGUCGUAGAGUGAUCGCUCACCAGAAUAAGUAAAAUUAUCCCAAAAUGGCCUAGUUUUUGUAUGUAAUGGCCUAUUUUCUAUAGAUUGCAGUGUGAAAAAAAAUGUUAGCUAUCUCAACACCUUGGAACCUUGAGGGUGACACCGGGGGGAUGAGAGUUUGGGGUAAUGUUGGAUGUUGAUUGAAUUCAUAAGUUCACACGUUAAGCUUACGAGAACUUGUCAACACACCUAACACUCUAUGAGUCGUUGUUUGUGGACUUGUGACUAUUCGUUUGCCUUCUAAAUACUAUAAGUGCUUUGCAAGCCAAUCAUAUGAGUGAUAGCACGUGUGACACUGCAUAAUAUUUUUUGUUAUUAUUAUUAUGACAUUUUAUCACUUUAUAUUAAUGAUAUAUAUUGUGACGUCCUUGAAUCUGUGUAGUAGGAAUUGAAUCAUGAUAAUGAGACCAAUUCGCUUAUAAACGUAGACGCUAAAUAUUCCCGGUCAUAAGUUACUCGAGAGGGAUAUUGAAAUAAAUGGACAGACUAGUGUGCUAUACACCCGUCUAUAUGAUGGAAGCAAUUAGUCGUAUAGCUACUUGUGUGGUGACAUUAGGGGUAUAGUGCAGGUUCUCAUUGGAGAAUGAGUUCACUAAAUGAUCCACUUGUGGAAUAUUUAUUGGUUAAUGAUACCUUAUCGUCAAAUAGCAAUUUCGUAGUCCCAAUUGUGCGUUUGGUCCUUAAACUCGAGAUAGCAAUACUUUAUUGGUUAAUGAUACUCUUUUCUAUUUUAAUUAGAUUAUUGUGUAAUUUGUUACUAAAUAUCCUAGCUUUUCAAAUUGAAAACAUAGUUUUUUCUUUUAAGACAUUCCCCCAUAUGAUACUUUCCAUAUUCAAUGUAAAUGGGUCUUUGCAUUUAAGAUGAUUGAGAAAACUAAGAUGUCUUUUUUUUUUUUUAAGGACAUUUGAGUUGUCUUUAUUAUUAUCAUUGACUUGGGUAUCAUUUUCCUUUGUUAUCCAGAAUUUAUUAUGAGGGCUUGUUAUAAAAAAUAAUAUAAUUUUUUAGUAUAUCAUGAUUACGACAUAUCUAUUAGGUUUGAAAAAUCUUUUACUGGACGUCCUUUUAUCUCGAAAGCUUUUUUUAUUACUAUGGAAUAUAGAAUAUCCAAGGUAUUUAUUAUCAUCUUCACAUUCUAAUAAAUUUCUACUCUAAGUCCUUAUAGAGAUUGAUUCAUCCUCAAGGUAUUAGUGUUAACCAUGUAGGGUGUAAAUUAGGAAAACUUCUUGAACUUUUUAAUGUAAUCUAAGCCUUCUUAUUUGAGGUAAACAAAUUUUGUCAUCUUGGUUUGAUUAGUGGGCUGCAUUGAAAUAUAUGUUUUAAAGUUCUUAUUAUUUUUUUCUAGAUCAUUUAUUUAGUAUCUAUAAUUUUUGUUCUUGCAUCUCAUUACAUGAGUAUUUUCUACAGCAUAAAUAUUGUACAAAUAACUUUAUUUUCAUCUGAAAUCUUUAUGUACCUAAAUAUUCUUUUAAUAUUUUCUUUGGUCAUUAAUAGAUCUAUAUCACAUUCAAAGACUAUUGAUCAAUAUUUCUAAACCUCUCACUUGUUGAUUCUAAAAUAUCAUGUCCUUGAAUCGUUUCAAGCAUCACCUCUUAUUCUCGGGCCAAUAAUUGCUCAAAGUUAUCUAAAUUGUCUCUUUACCAAUUCUGUUAGUUUAUUAAUUAUUGCAUCUCUUUGAUCUUCUUACGUGGAUGUCUCUCUUCCAUCAGGAGUCUCUUUUUGACAUUACUAGAGCUAUUAGCUUUUUCUUUUCUUCUCAUAUUAUUUUCUUGAUUAAUCAUAAGAUGUUCACACCCUAGUUGUCAAAUAUAAGGAUAUUAUAUAAUAAUAAAAAAAUCAAUAUAACUCAAUUAUUAAAAUUUACAGGAUAGUUGAGUAGUGUGUUUUAUACUUUUGUAAAUACAAAUAAUCUACAAGAGUCAUGACCUAGGCUUUAAUAUCAUCAUACUCCUAAGCCCACCAAUACGAGAUAUGCAUGACUAAAAUAAAAUAUUAAUUUUUAGUUCUUUUAUUGUUAUUAAUAUGAGUGUAGUACAAAAGUAGAUAAUUUUGAAAGUAAAAUAUACUAAUUUAUCAAAUAAAAUUAUAAGGUUUCCUCUAUAUAUAUAUAGUGAUUUUGACAUAUGAACAUAAUUAUAACCUCUAAUUAAAAGAAAAAUAUACACAUAUAACAUGUUCAAUAUAUAUAUAUAUAUAUAUAUAUAUAUAUAUAUAUAUAUAUAUAUAUAUAUAUAUAUAUAUNNNNNNNNNNNNNNNNNNNNCACUAGCAUAAUCUCACACGUGCUCACUUCUCUAUCGAAUCACUUAAGUGGAGUAUUAGUAUUCUUUCUUACAAAAUAUAGUCUAUAGUGAAUAAUCACUUAAUAAGUAUAAGCCUUUAUAAUUUUAUUUAGGUGAGCAUAUAUCAUGUCAUAUAUAUAAUAUUUUAAAAUCAUAGACAUAAGAUAUUUAAUGAUAAACACCUCAUCCUAUGACUUAUUUAGUAAGUAUAACCUUACAACAUAGCAUAUGCACAAAAAAUAAAUAAAAUUUUACAUCGAAAUAACUUAAACUUUUAUAACUUUAUUUAGGUGAGCGUGUAUCAUGUAAUAUAUACAAUAUUUUAAAAUCAUAGACGUAAGACAUUUAUUAGUGAACAUGACUUAUUUAGCAAGCAUAAUCUUACAACAUAGUAUAUGGACAAUAAAGAGCACACACACAUGCAUUUAUAUAUACAAUAUGCAUACAAUAUUUUUAUAUAAUUGAGCUUAUGCAUAUAAUAUGCUUAUGUAAUAUGUAUAUUAACAUUGAGCUUAUGCUUAGAUCAUGGUUGUCAUUAUUAUUUGAAACAUACUUUCUGAAAUACAUUAUAAAUAUAAUAAUUUAUAUUAUCACUAUUUUAUAGUGAAUUACACUUACACAAAUCUGAUUUAACUCAAAGAUAAAAAUGUUAGUGAAAAAUCAUAUUUCUUAAUGAUCGAGUAUUCUAGAGAGUGGUAAACGUAUCAAAUUAACAACAUAGGGUCAUUAGAUAUAUUAAUUAAGAGCCAUAUCUUUUGAAUUCCUAAUUUAUAAUAAUUUAUAUUUUUUUUUAUAAGAUCCCUUCUUAAAUAGAUUAUAUUCAACUUGAAAAUUUAUCUUAAAUAAAGUAUCUCAUAUUGAAACACUUAUUACUCUAUCUACCAAUAUUAGAUUAAAGUCAUAUUAGAGGUCUUAGAAUGGUAAGAGAUUCAUACAAAAUAUAUCUAAAAAUUAAAUAUUAAUUUGAAGCUUAGGUUACUUAAAAGUAGUUAAAAAUAUCAGUACAUAAUCUGUAAAAUUAAAAUCCUAUAUAUAAUAAGGACAUAAUUGAGUU